UGUGGAGGUGCCGUGGGUUUGGAGGUCAGCCCCGGACAGGCAUGGAGGACAUCCCAAGAGCCAGGCUGGCCUCCCAGGCAACCCCUCAGAGUUCUAGGUUUCAAAUCCCCAUGAGGCAAAGGCUUGGGAGGAUCUCAGCAUGACCACAGCAGUUUGGUGCUUUCUGGAAACAGAUGAGCCCUGUACAACAUGUCACUUGAUAGCCUACAUCCUGGGGAUGGGGAGGGUCGGAGUGUGAGGUCUCCAUGACCGAGGAGAGAAGCAGGAGGAAGCUCUUCAGGUCCUGCAGAAGCUAGAAGCCUUUCAUGCACUGUCUGGCUGUUCUGAAGUCUGGAG
RNAcentral lists this long non-coding RNA (336 nucleotides) under Mus pahari (shrew mouse). RNAcentral describes it as "lncRNA (MGP_PahariEiJ_G0005796.1)". The record is from RNAcentral. Lineage: Eukaryota; Metazoa; Chordata; Mammalia; Rodentia; Muridae.